This is an RNA transcript of Ostrinia furnacalis (Asian corn borer), 3816 nucleotides long. It is a transcript of the gene named glycolipid transfer protein, with no coding region annotated. The transcript is spliced from 6 exons. Lineage: Eukaryota; Metazoa; Arthropoda; Insecta; Lepidoptera; Crambidae. The record is from RefSeq and is a predicted model, not a curated record.
GACAGCCAGUCGCGUACCUGUCUGGCGGGCGCAAUCGUUACCGCGUCGGUCUGCAUCGACAGGCAUGCGCAGUGCGCACCACCGUGCGAGCAUUCGACCAAGUGGGAAGUGAGGAGGAACGGCGCUGCACGCUGUAAAUGGUCGCCUCCGAGCCGCUCCGCCGCGCCGCCCCGCACCCGCAGUCCUCCCGCCGCGCCGGCUUCGCACGCUCCUCGCUAACCGCAUCAUGGUAAUGGACAACCGGAUGAACGAAGAAACUGACAAUGAACACAACUCCUCGAUAUUCGUGACCAAUUUUCAAAAUGGAGAAAUAGUUAAUUACUCCCUUGUUUUGAUUAAAGGAUUCAUAACAAGAGGUAACACAACAAACCAGGACCAAUUGACAUGCACAUUAAAAAAUGAAAAAACACAAACAAAAUCACAGUGGUCAGUUUAUAAUGGCGAAUUUAAGGUCAUCACUGAAUUAACCAGAGGAAACAACACGAUUGAACUAGAAUAUGCAGAACAAAAGAAAUCAUUUAUAUUGGAGUAUGAGCCUCGUAAAACGAAUCUCAGAGUUACACCAGUUUACAUAAUUUGUCAAGGCCAUGACGGAUGCUUCCAAAGUCCUCAAGAUGUUGAUUGUUCUGUAGAAAGUGCUAGCUCUCGUAUAGUCCUCGGAUCAAAAUUAAUCCAAUGCUUAACAGCUGAAAAACUUUUUGAAAGUGGAGUUGGGAGAAAAACUUUCCAACUUGAACAUGAAGUAAAUUCCAAAAAGCCUGAGUGUGUCAUAUUCAGCAGCAGCUUAAAUGUAAAUAAAGCAAGAAAAAUGAAGCAAGCAGAACUAUGGACUCACUUCGGAAGAGAACUAAUGCUCUCUGAUUUAGGGAGUAAUGAAAGGAAGUUUCUGGGAUUUAUAUCAUGUACGAGAUUUAAAGGGACUGACAUUGAAAAACCAAUGACUCACGAUGAAAUCGUUUCACUAACAGAAGCUUACGCCGCACUUGGAGGCGGAGGUCUAGCUCUGUUUGGUACUGCUUGUUUAUACACAUGGCCCACAGCAGUGGAUGAUAUCAUCCCAAGAUUCAUGGACACAACACCAGUAAACAACCGAAGAUUUAUGGACGACAGCGGAUACAGAGGAACCCUUGGAGGCUGUUUUGCGACAACAUUGGGCUCAGUUUUCCAUGAAUUAGGUCACACCUUUGAUUUAGGACAUACUAAAGAUGGUAUCAUGGGAAGAGGAUUUGAUAAUAUUGACCGUGUCUUUACUGUUGGAGAAAGAAGGUCAUCGCUGAUAAAAGAUAAUAUGAAUAAUUAUAGCGGUAAACCCGUACAACAUUCCACAGUUUCACUACAGCGAAACAUUAGUGUUACCAUGAACGUGGCGGAACCACUACGCUUGUUGGGGCCAAGAAGUAAAACCACGUUAGGGAACUUUGCUUCAAUGUCAAAAUCUGACAUCGUACGAAGAAGUCCAAAUGUUACACCAAUAACUAGACCAUCCAGUGUAUAUUCAAGCAUUACAAAUAAACUCACAGACUCCAAGAGAAACAUCAACCGAGUAAACGGAAAUGAUUCAAUUUACUGGACCAGAAAUUGUGCAGUGCUAUUAUCAUAUCACCGAUGGUUCAACAAUGAAUAUGGGAGAGAAAGACAAGCAAUAACGAGAUAUCUGAAAUUUGACAAAAACAAAAUGCUGAUUAUCUCAACGGCUGGCAUAAGAAUAGUUGAAGUAAGAGAUGAAUCGAAUGGAAUGGUGUUGGAUUCGUAUGAAUUCACUAACCUAUUGCCAGAAAAAAGAUUUUUGGUCCCAUUUACCUUUUCUCCUAAGAGCAAAGUCUUGACCAUUGUCGUAGAAGACGAUUUGGGCAAUGUAUUGAAGCAAACAUUUUCUUAUUGAUUUCAUUCCAAGCUAAGAAUAGAAUAGAUUAAUGUAUUGACAAUAAAGUGAAAAUGUAAUUGGGAAGUAUUAAUUUAUGAGAAGGACAUGUAUAUAAGUAAUUUACGUGAUAACAAAAACAUGUAAUUUUAACUUUGCCUAUGUUAUUAUAUUUAUUAAGAUUCUCAGUAACUAACCGCGAUAGCUUCGCUUCUGUGAUUUUGAAAGUGUACAUUUUCAAUUUUAAAUUGUGGAAACAUCGCUCUGUGUAAUGGCAACUGGAAAUUUGACAAUUAAUAACUGGCAUGACAUUAAUGACAUUCCGUGUUGUUUGUUUACACUUAAAAUUUUCAGGAAACUGGUGGGCUUAUUUUAUCAGCUUAAUUUUAUCAUUUGAAUGUAAAUACUCAUUUGCAAUGACUUAGUUAUCUAUAGGUAACCAGUGUAGAAAUUUGGCGUGCAGAUGAUAAAUGGUUUUUAGUCAUAUUGGACAUUACUAAUAAUUUCUUACAAAUGGCAAGUUCUUCGGGUCAAUUAUCGCAUCAAAGCAGUUUCUGGAGAAACAUGAAAGAAUUUCCACCUGUAAUUGAUGGAAGAAUACAUUUUGUGAGUUUCUUAGAAGCUGCAAAUGAUUUGAUAUCGUUAGUGGAACGUCUUGGCAAGGUGUUUGUGCCAGUUAAAUAUGAUAUGCAAGGGAAUAUUGAUAAAGUAAAGAAGCAUUAUCAAUACGAUGAAGCAUCCUGCUUGCUUGAGUUAAUGCUUGAUGAAUAUAGCAGAGGAAAACUGAAUGCACUAGAGGGCAUAUUAUGGCUUAAUAGAGCAUUCUUGUUUUUCGAACUGGCAUUUCAAGAAAUAAUUAAAUGUCUGCAGUCUGGUAACUAUGAUAUAAACAUGGCCAAAAUAUUUACAGUGGCAUACGAAGGAUCUGUCAAAAAAUACCACAAUUGGGUAACACAACAAAUAUUUUUUUUUAUCUGCAAAAUGUCUCCGUCGUUGCUUCAACUUUUGAAAUCCCUUGAAGUUGAUAGUGAUAUGAAAACAUUUGAAACGAAAUUAGUCCAAUUCAACAUAACAUUGCAUUUAAAUAGGUGUAAAAUUGAUGACUUUUUUAAAGAUCACCAAUUGUUCGAAGAUUAGAUGAUAAGCUAUCCAAUUCAAAUCCCAAAGUGUCCUAAUUUAAAAUAUGAAUACAGUUAGAUUUUGUUAUUUGUAACAAUAAAUUGACUAGAAAUAGAUUUUGUAUAUAAUACACUAAAAAUUAUUGUAAAGGAUCACUUCUAUUAUUAUUAUCAAUUACCUAACUACUUAAUUUUUUUAAAUAAUCAUGUAAUGUGUUUAACCAUUAAAUAGAGGUGGUCCUAACUGUAACCUAAGAUAACCUACACCUAAAUGCUGUGUUAGUACCUAUAGAGCAAGAGGCUAUUAUAAAAUAGAUAUUUAUUAAUUACAUUACCAAUAGGAUUUUUUGUAUUGUGAACCAAAAACUUGUGUAUGUAUAAUAAAUCGCAUUAUUUAUUACUCAUAUUAUACCAACUAGAAGUGGAAUAUAUUUUUGUGUAAUAACAUUUCUGUUAACAUCUAUGGAAGCAAAUACACACAGAUUUUCGAAGACUAGUGCCUUGAGUGGUUGACAGCAAGAAUUACAAAUUAUUGUGUAUAAGAAAGGUUCAAAACAUUUUAAUGAAAUACAUUAUGAAGAUGUUAUAUUUUGUACCAGUAGCUAUAAUGACAAUGCUCUAAAAAUAAUUUUAACCCAGGAUAAUUAAGCAAUGAGAUGUGUAGAGUAUUAAGGUGCUAGUAAUAGUUUGAGAGAUGUCACUUAGAUCUUUGUUUGUGUAUUACAAAAUUGUGUUAAUUAUAUAUUUAUUCUUAUAAAUAUUACUGUAAAACCGAUUGGAGCUUUGCUGCUACACAUGUUAGCUUAUAAUGAAUUCAUUAUAAAUCUUGAGUGACUA